CCGGUCAAUCGCUUCCCACGCGUGUUCCCACGCAAUGUCACACGUGCCCGAGCCGUCGAAUGCGUACGUUCGUAAACGCUCGUAAACGCUCGUAUUAAACUCAAACAUCAGGCAUUUCUGAAUCGCCAAUGUGAGUCACGCUUUACCUAGUUACUGGCUGGGCUGUGUUGCCAUAUUGAGCUCAUUGCGACGAUUAUCCAUACUUGUUGAAAACAAGCGAGUUGCCUGAACACGUAUCAUAGCUUCAACCACAAAAACAACGCGUUACGUGAUGAGUGAAUAUUUUGAAAUUGAUACAAUGGACACGGCAAUCACCAUUCAACUAUUUCGAUUCCGUACAGGAGUUCUACGCGAUACAAAUGAUGCUAAAGCCUAAAGAUUAAAUCUAAGUCUAUUUUUUCCUCUCGAAGACGCGCAUUUGCGCGGGGUAUGUUUACGUGAUCGACCUAUUCUUGUGUUUGCGCCGAGCUGAUCCCGAAGAAACAGGAUCGGUAGCGCUCGGAUAUACCGAGAGGAAAUUACGCUGAGACAGCUGGACAUUGAAGAGUCAUCAGUUAAGUUACCGCUCAGUAGAAAGAUGAGGAACACGUGUGUGACAGUACCUGAGGUAGAGGGAAACUAAAAGUAAAUUCAGUUAUCUUUUCACACAGGACUGAGACGAAGAUAAGUGUGUUCUUGAAAUAACUAGAUGUAGGGAAAUUGAGCCAGAUUAUACAACUGAUAUAUCAUUGCUAUUUACCUUGCGAUGACAUGAUUGUCGACUUUAAUGAGACAGUAUGGAUCACUUCUGCCAAGUCUGAAUAUGAUAAAAAUAUAAUCAUCAGUCAAUUUCACGGUGCAUUUAGGAAAUUAGCAAUGAGGAGUCAAAAGGUCAAGACGAUGUUUGGCUGUUAUUUUGGUCACUGUAGCACUUCGCGCCGGGAGCGGCGGGGGGGGGAACCUCCAGUUAUCAAGAUAACACGUACAUGCUUGUGUUUGCUCAAUGAAAACUGGCUGGCCAAUAUCAUUUCCGUUGAACAGCGCUUAUCGGAAGGAGGUGACGCAGCUGGAGAUGCGAGGCCUCUCUGAGAUCUUUUGUCAGCUCAAGAUCGACUGGUCUAUUCCACCAGAUUACAGGGAAAUUUUACCGAAUAAUUGACGAAGUUAGCGCAGUUAUCUUUUGAAUAAAAAGGAGAAAUUAUUGGACUGGUUUUAGCCCUGAAUUAAAUCGCAUCGCGUAGGAAAACAAGAGUAUUAAAUAAAA
This is a long non-coding RNA of Dendronephthya gigantea, 1243 nucleotides long. RefSeq lists it as uncharacterized. Lineage: Eukaryota; Metazoa; Cnidaria; Anthozoa; Malacalcyonacea; Nephtheidae. The record is from RefSeq and is a predicted model, not a curated record. The transcript has 5 exons.